UUAGGACUAGGCUAAUUCUACUUAAAUUAAUCCGAUGUAAAAAAUUGCUUCCUGAGAUGUUACUUAACUUCAGAUUAAUUAGUUCUAGACUAAUGAGUUCCAGACUAAGGUAAGUAAGGACUAACCAGUUCAUCUUUGUAAAGCCUAAUUAAAUUAACGAUGUGCACUUGGUGCUGACCUGAGGAUUCUUCAAAAACCAGGGAUGGGACACUAAUAGAUAAGCAUUGUGUGGAAUUGGAGCAAGUCACCUAAACCAAACAAUGGACUGAGGUAAAAGAAAACAUCAAAAUAAUUUUUGUGACUUUGAAAAAUCCCUUUUGAAGCUAAUUGUGUCGAACCACCCAAUUAUCUAGAACAAAGAGCAUGGUUCAUCAACAGAAAACAAGAAAAAUAAUGCAUGGACCACCAUUUGGAAUGAAUUCAACUCAAAUGAAAAAGUAAACAGAAGGACGCUACAACAACAUCAGGUCCUGUAGAAAAACAUAAAAUAAACUUAAAGAAGACAAAUGCUGUUGCUUGUAGGGAGCGUUUCAAGACUGGUAAGACCAGAGACAGUUGAGCUUGGGGACUUGUUGACUGGGAUCAUUGAUAGCCAGCAACCCCUGGACGGUAUCCCUGAUAAUGACCAUUUGCACAGUUGAGAUAGGGGACCGUUCCAAUCUUCGUUUGAGGCAGAUGAUCACCAUAGCUUAUUGGGGAUAAUACAGGAUGAAGGUCAGCCCACUACAUCUGCAGAAGCAAGGAGGGAAGAUUGUGUCACUAACUCAGGCCGGAGGACAAAGACAAAGAGGCUGAGCAUGCAUGAGAAACUGACCAUGGAAUUUCAUGAGCGCAAACUAAUGUAUUUAAAAGAAGAGCAUGAUAUGAAGAUGCAAAUCCUUCAUGUUUUGUUGGUUAUGAAUGAGGAGGAGAGAAACAUGAAGCACCAGCAGUACCAAUGUUUUUCUUGAACCAGCACCAGUUCGAGGUCCUGAUAUUUCCACUUGGGCUAUCUUUGUUGUGAGAAGUACUGCAUAGC
This 1018-nucleotide long non-coding RNA is filed under the name Salmo salar (Atlantic salmon). RNAcentral's name for it is "lncRNA (ENSSSAG00000106534.1)". Lineage: Eukaryota; Metazoa; Chordata; Actinopteri; Salmoniformes; Salmonidae. The record is from RNAcentral.